RNAcentral lists this ribosomal RNA (406 nucleotides) under uncultured bacterium. Its description in RNAcentral is "partial 16S ribosomal RNA". It matches the Rfam family "Bacterial small subunit ribosomal RNA", at positions 30 to 526 of the family's 1533-position model. The record is from RNAcentral.
AUUGAACGCUGGCGGCAUGCCUAACACAUGCAAGUCGAACGAGUGGCGUACGGGUGAGUAAUAUAUCUGAACGUGCCUUGUAGCUGGGGAUAACUACUGGAACCUGUUGCUACUACCGCAUACUAUAGGAUCGGCCGAAUUGGGAUUAGCUUGUUUGUGGGGCAAAGGCGCCCCAAGGCUACGAUCCGUAGCUGGUGUGAGAGGAUGACCAGUAACACUGGGACUAAGACACGGCCCAGAAUCCGACGGUAGGCAGCAGUGGGGAAUAUUGGACAAUGGGCGAAACCCUGAUCCAGCCAGGCCGCGUGUGUGAAGAAGGCCUUCGGGUUGUAAAGUACUUUAAGCAGAGAAGCGGUAUCUGCAGAAUAAGCACCGGCUAACUCCGUGCCAGCAGCCGCGGUAAUAC